RNAcentral lists this ribosomal RNA (217 nucleotides) under uncultured bacterium. Its description in RNAcentral is "partial 16S ribosomal RNA". It matches the Rfam family "Bacterial small subunit ribosomal RNA", at positions 524 to 740 of the family's 1533-position model. The record is from RNAcentral.
UACGGAGGGGGCUAGCGUUAUUCGGAAUUACUGGGCGUAAAGCGCACGUAGGCGGAUCAGAAAGUCAGAGGUGAAAUCCCAGGGCUCAACCUUGGAACUGCCUUUGAAACUCCUGGUUUUGAGGUCGAGAGAGGUGAGUGGAAUUCCGAGUGUAGAGGUGAAAUUCGUAGAUAUUCGGAGAACACCAGUGGCGAAGGCGGCUCACUGGACUCGAUAC